UUCAAAAUAUUAUGGAAUUCAGCAUCUUGUGGAAUUAAAUAUUCUGUAUAUACUAAAUCAUUACAAAAAAAAUCUCACAAGGAAUUCUGGUUAAUCAUUCAGUACAUGCCACCAUCCAUCCGUUUCUCAGCUGUCUGAUAUUGUACCUUAAUUAACUUUAAAAUCCAUCAAAGUCCACAUUACUCAUUUAGUUCAAUUUUGUUUGAGACAUGGUCUCAUCCUAUAUUUCAUCUCAGACUGAUCUGCAAUGCACCAUAUCCUAGAUAGGCCUUAAACUUAGCAAUCGUCCUGUCUCAGCUUCCCAAGUGCUAGGAUUACUGGUGUAAAACCACCCACCCAACUCAGCUUGUUUUGAACUUUUAAACCCUGUAAUAGAAGUGAACUCACUUGCUCUCCAAAUACCUACUCUUCUUAAAAAAUGUAUCACAUAGUAAAAUUGCCCUAAGAAUGUCUGAUGUGCAUUUCUUACCUGACUAAGCCUGUUUUCCACUUGAGCUAACAUCACAGUGCAUUUUUAUGGCUAUCCUUUGAAAUUCUGAUGAGCUCACUACUAGUUCUACUUCUCUCAAAACAGCUCUUUCUCAGCAUGAUAGAAUAAUAAUGUGAGGCAGGAAAAAAAAACAUUGUUCUAAUCUUGGUUCUUUUAUUGAUUGAUUCUAGGGGGGAAAUCACACAAUUGUUUAAAGGCUUUUAGAAAAAUUCUAUACAAUGGAUAGACUUGCCCUACAUGUAAAAAUUCUACCACUAUAAUCUCUUUACUUCUAUAUCAUUAUUUCUUCGGUUGCAAUUCUCAAUUCCUAUUCACUAAAGAUGCAAGUAUUAUGUCUCGCAUUUACUUCAUGAUGCGAGGAUUCAUCUAACACAUCCUCAUUCCUUUUGGCUCUCAGUUCUUCUAGAUACUAUAUUUUUCUCCUUUUUUUAAGUUGUUUUGUGGAGGCUCUGGUUCUCUGAGGACAAAAUGAACUUUGCCUUAAAAUGGGUUUUUCACUAAGCAGUCUCUUGCUCUUGCUCUCACAUGCAGGCACCUGUAUCUCAGCAGACUGUCUUACAAGACGCAUUACUUUGAAGUCUACCUGGAUUCAAAACCACAUGGAUUCCUCAGUGUUUAGCUUCUGAGAUAUGGCUAGCUCUCUAGUUGACCUGGAGUAGUCACAUGUGGCCUCCCACAUAUCUAGGGUUUGCAAUCUUAGGCAGUGCUUACCUCUUGCAUCUUCCUUUGGACUCGCCCCUAUCCCUUCCUUGCAGAGAGUAAAUUGAGAUAUCUCCCAUUCCAUCUGAACAGUCCUCAGAAACCUGGCACCACCCUUAGGGGGCAAUUCUAGGAUAAGAUAUUACCACCCUGCAGUUCAACAUGGUCUUAAUCUCAAUCCUAAAUCUUAGUUAAAAGGGAAUUGUUUUCCUUGGGUGCCUUUCUGCAAUUUCUUCAUUCUUGAAACGUUUUCUUACUUAUUUCUUGCCAAACCUUUCUUAUUCCCAUUUUCUUAUACAUAACCAUUUUCUUCGGUGCUGGGUAUUGCAUGCAGAGGCUUACAUGUUAGCAAACACUGUACCAUUGGGCUGUAUCCACAGCCCAAAACAUUCCUUUUCUUAUAUUUAUCCUCACAUCAUUGUGUAGUUUCUAUUUCUUAAUAUGAACUAUAUUGAUACAGAUAUAUCUGCUUUUCAGAAUAAUUCACUCCUUAACUGUGCAAUCAAGCACUACUACUGGAAAACAUAAGCUAUGUAAUUCACCAACUUCCCUUCUGUGUUUGCUGCAUGGGAAAAAAGCUUUUUGACACUUUACCAUAAGUGUUUAUGUUACUAUACUGUUUUGUUCAUUGUUCAGUAUUACUAAAUUUUUUUGUAUAUUUUUUUCUUCUCUCUUUUCUGCUCAGAUUAUUUAGCUUGCAUUACUAAAGUGUGAAUAUUUUCAAGGUAAUUCAUGUCUCAUCUCUAAGUAUUCUCUUGAUUUUAGCUAUCUUCUUUGAUUUAAGGAAAUCCAACUUAUAUUUUUUAGUCUUUAUAGUGCUUCUGAAUUAGUUUAAUCUGAUUAAUUAGUUUAAUCUGAUUAAUCUUUUGUUUGGAUUUACUUGCAUUAUUUUUAUUUUGUGUAUGUUUGUGUGCCUUCUUAUAUGUAUGUACACAGUCUCCCACAUCCUAGAGAUGCUUGAUGCCACUAGAGCUGGAGUUAAAGGAAGCUAUGACCUGCCAGAUGUGGGUACUGGGAGCCACACUCAGGUCCUAUGCAAGAGAAGUAGGCACUCUUAACUCCUGACUCAUCUAUCCAGCCUUAAUCAUUCUUUUAUUUUUAUUUCAAUAGAUAUUGAAUAUGUAGUAUAUGCCAGACAAGAUGAUAAUAAAAACUAAAAGGUGAGCAAAGUACAUGUGCUGUACACGACAAAAUAUUUGUAAGUUAAAAAAAUACUGUAAAGUGUGGUAAGCGCUGUAAUUGAAGUAGAUUGUAUUAUAAGAGCAUGAAAACUAUUAAAUUUUGGAGAAGGGUAGAGAGUGCUUCCAAAAGAAUGUAAAAGAUAAGUAUAGACUUGAAGUCUCGACAGAUGAGGAGGAGUUUACAACCUGAAGGUAAAUGGAAUGGGCUGCCAAACUUGAAAAGACAAUUCCAGACAAAAGGGGUCAACAGUUACAAAGGGCUACAAGUCACAGCGAAUGUGGUAUUUUAGGAAAACUACGCUUAGUUCAGAUCCUAAAUUUCCAGAUAGGUUAGCCAGAGUUAAGGAAAAAGGUGAUUCAAUUGUAGUUGAAGCAAUAUGUUCUAAGGUUUCAGUUUAUAGUCAUUUUUUGUUGAAAAAAAUGUUAAUAUAUUCUGAUCAUGUUUUUUCUUCUCUCAACUUCUCCUAAAUCCUCCCUUCCUCCUUCCCACUCAGGGUCACACUCUUUUUUCCUCUCUUAAAACAAACAAACAAACAAAAAAACCAACAAAACAAAACAAAAAAACCAACAAGC
This 2943-nucleotide long non-coding RNA is filed under the name Mus musculus (house mouse). Its description in RNAcentral is "long non-coding RNA chrX:108853580-108856523". The record is from RNAcentral. Lineage: Eukaryota; Metazoa; Chordata; Mammalia; Rodentia; Muridae.